RNAcentral lists this ribosomal RNA (287 nucleotides) under uncultured soil bacterium. Its description in RNAcentral is "partial 16S ribosomal RNA". It matches the Rfam family "Bacterial small subunit ribosomal RNA", at positions 26 to 298 of the family's 1533-position model. The record is from RNAcentral.
AGGACGAACGCUGGCGGCGUGCUUAACACAUGCAAGUCGAGGGAGUCCAGGUCUUCGGACCUGAGGCGACCGGCGGACGGGUGAGUAACACGUAAGUGAUCUAUCCUCAUGCGGGGGACAACCCGGGGAAACCCGAGCUAAUACCGCAUGGUCGGACUGGCUGCAUGGCCGGACCGGGAAAGGUGGCCUCUUCUUGAAAGCUACCGCGUGGGGAGGAGCUUGCGGGCUAUCAGCUAGUUGGUGCGGUAACGGCGCACCAAGGCAACGACGGCGUAGGGGGUCUGGAG